Molecule: ribosomal RNA, 645 nt
Filed under: uncultured bacterium
Lineage: Bacteria
Description: bacterial SSU rRNA
Rfam family: Bacterial small subunit ribosomal RNA
Source: RNAcentral
CGCGGCCUAUCAGCUUGUUGGUGGGGUAACGGCCUACCAAGGCGACGACGGGUAGCCGGCCUGAGAGGGUGACCGGCCACACUGGGACUGAGACACGGCCCAGACUCCUACGGGAGGCAGCAGUGGGGAAUAUUGCACAAUGGGCGAAAGCCUGAUGCAGCGACGCCGCGUGAGGGGUGACGGCCUUCGGGUUGUAAACCUCUUUCGACAGGGAAGAAGCUUUCGGGUGACGGUACCUGUAGAAGAAGCACCGGCUAACUACGUGCCAGCAGCCGCGGUAAUACGUAGGGUGCAAGCGUUGUCCGGAAUUAUUGGGCGUAAAGAGCUCGUAGGCGGCCUGUCGCGUCGGUUGUGAAAGCCCGGGGCUUAACCCCGGGUCUGCAGUCGAUACGGGCAGGCUAGAGUUCGGCAGGGGAGACUGGAAUUCCUGGUGUAGCGGUGAAAUGCGCAGAUAUCAGGAGGAACACCGGUGGCGAAGGCGGGUCUCUGGGCCGAUACUGACGCUGAGGAGCGAAAGCGUGGGGAGCGAACAGGAUUAGAUACCCUGGUAGUCCACGCUGUAAACGGUGGGCACUAGGUGUGGGCCGCAUUCCACGUGGUCUGUGCCGUAGCUAACGCAUUAAGUGCCCCGCCUGGGGAGUACGG